Molecule: long non-coding RNA, 1470 nt
Filed under: Gallus gallus (chicken)
Lineage: Eukaryota; Metazoa; Chordata; Aves; Galliformes; Phasianidae
Description: lncRNA (ENSGALG00010000693.1)
Source: RNAcentral
CCCCCCUCUCCACAUUUCAUUGCCGUUUCUCCGCCCCGUUCUCAUUCCAUCCCCAAAAUCCCUUUUGCUCACGUGGAAACCGUUCACUUCUUACCUUCCUCACUUCCCACUCUCAUUCUCAGCACUUUCCAACCCCUUCCAACUAUUUUCAUCCAAUUCUUUCCUCUUCAGGAUUCCCCAAAGCGAUUCCAGGUCCUUUCCAGCCCCUCUUCCCAACGCCCAACCGCUUCCAUUCCACCUUUCCACACCGUUUUGGAGCCCUUUUCUCCCCCUUUCCCACCACCUGAACCCACCCCAGGUCCUUCAGACCCCCCCCCAGCCCUCCCAGCCCCCCUCCCCACUCACAGGAGCCGCUGUUGCUGUACUGGCUCUGCUGGCUGUAGCUCUGCGGCGCGCUGUAUGAGGACUGCUGGCUGUAGGAGGGCUGCUGGCUGCUGUAUGAGGACUGCUGGCUGUAGCCGGAGCUGGGCGGCUGCCCGUAGCUGGAGCUCUGGGAGCUGCCCCCAUAGCUGUGGGAAACGACACGUCCUGAGCUCAAAGGACCCCAAAGCACUCAGCAAAACCACCGGGGCCUCGUUAAAAACACGUGUUAAUGAGCUGACGGAUCAGGUUGGAAGGGGAGAGCGAACCCCGCAGCAGCUCUGUGGGUUUUAUACUGUAAGUGAAGCAAAGCGUGCGGUUAUAGGGGAGGACGUUCAGCUGAGCAUAACCUUGGGGCUGGGAACGUCCAGUGGGGCUGGGAACGUCCAGUGGGGCUGGGAACGUCCAGUGGGGCUGGGAACGUCCAGUGGGGCUGGGAACACCCAACAGAGCCAAAUUUGGGGUUGGAAGCGUCCAAUGGGGUUGGAAACGUCCAACAGAGCACAAUUUGGGGUUAAAACAUCCAACAGAGCCAAAUUUGGGGUUACAACACCCAACAGAGCCCAAUUUGGGGUUGGAAUCAUCCAAUGGGGUUGGAAACACCCAACAGAGCACAAUUUGGGGUUACAACACCCAACAGAGCCGAAUUUGGGGUUGGAAACAUCCAAUGGGGCUGGAAACAUCCAAUGGGGUUGGAAAAACCCAACAGAGGCAAAUUUGGGGUUAAAAAAUCCAAUAGAGCCAAAUUUGGGGCUGCAAACAUCCAACAGAGCCAAAUUUAGGGUCACAACACCCAACAGAGCCCAAUUUGGGGCUGCAAACAUCCAAUGGGGUUGGAAACACCCAAAAGAGCACAAUUUGGGGGUUAAAGCAUCCAACAGAGCCAAAUUUGGGGUUACAACACCCAACAGAGCCCAAUUUGGGGUUGGAAUCAUCCAAUGGGGUUGGAAACACCCAACAGAGCACAAUUUGGGGCUGGAAACGUCCAAUGGGGUUGGAAACGUCCAACAGAGCACAAUUUGGGAUUAAAACAUCCAACAGAGCCAAAUUUGGGGUUACAACACCCAACAGAGCCCAAUUUGGGGUUGGAAUCAUCCAAUGGGGUUGAAA